Molecule: ribosomal RNA, 298 nt
Filed under: uncultured bacterium
Lineage: Bacteria
Description: partial 16S ribosomal RNA
Rfam family: Bacterial small subunit ribosomal RNA
Source: RNAcentral
GUGGCCCUACGGGGGGCAGCAGUGGGGGAUAUUGCACAAUGGGGGGAACCCUGAUGCAGCGACGCCGCGUGGGUGAAGGAGUAUUUCGGUAUGUAAAGCCCUAUCGGCAGGGAAGAAGAAAGACGGUACCUGACUAAGAAGCCCCGGCUAACUACGUGCCAGCAGCCGCGGGAAUACGUAGGGGGCGAGCGUUAUCCGGAUUCACUGGGUGUAAAGGGAGCGUAGACGGCCAAGCAAGCCAGGGGUGAAAGCCCGGGGCCCAACCCCGGGACGGCCCUUGGAACUGCAUGGCUGGAGU